Molecule: ribosomal RNA, 1953 nt
Filed under: Klebsiella aerogenes
Lineage: Bacteria; Pseudomonadati; Pseudomonadota; Gammaproteobacteria; Enterobacterales; Enterobacteriaceae
Description: bacterial LSU rRNA
Rfam family: Bacterial large subunit ribosomal RNA
Source: RNAcentral
UGCUAACGUCCGUCGUGAAGAGGGAAACAACCCAGACCGCCAGCUAAGGUCCCAAAGUCACAGUUAAGUGGGAAACGAUGUGGGAAGGCACAGACAGCCAGGAUGUUGGCUUAGAAGCAGCCAUCAUUUAAAGAAAGCGUAAUAGCUCACUGGUCGAGUCGGCCUGCGCGGAAGAUGUAACGGGGCUAAACUGUGCACCGAAGCUGCGGCAGCGACACUUAGGUGUUGUUGGGUAGGGGAGCGUUCUGUAAGCCUGCGAAGGUGGCCUGUGAGGGUUGCUGGAGGUAUCAGAAGUGCGAAUGCUGACAUAAGUAACGAUAAUGCGGGUGAAAAGCCCGCACGCCGGAAGACCAAGGGUUCCUGUCCAACGUUAAUCGGGGCAGGGUGAGUCGACCCCUAAGGCGAGGCCGAAAGGCGUAGUCGAUGGGAAACAGGUUAAUAUUCCUGUACUUGGUGUUACUGCGAAGGGGGGACGGAGAAGGCUAUGUUAGCCGGGCGACGGUUGUCCCGGUUUAAGCAUGUAGGCGGAGGUUCCAGGUAAAUCCGGUACCUUUUAACGCUGAGGUGUGAUGACGAGGCACUACGGUGCUGAAGUAACAAAUGCCCUGCUUCCAGGAAAAGCCUCUAAGCAUCAGGUAACAUUGAAUCGUACCCCAAACCGACACAGGUGGUCAGGUAGAGAAUACCAAGGCGCUUGAGAGAACUCGGGUGAAGGAACUAGGCAAAAUGGUGCCGUAACUUCGGGAGAAGGCACGCUGAUAUGUAGGUGAAGCCCCUGCGGGUGGAGCUGAAAUCAGUCGAAGAUACCAGCUGGCUGCAACUGUUUAUUAAAAACACAGCACUGUGCAAACACGAAAGUGGACGUAUACGGUGUGACGCCUGCCCGGUGCCGGAAGGUUAAUUGAUGGGGUUAUCCGUAAGGAGAAGCUCUUGAUCGAAGCCCCGGUAAACGGCGGCCGUAACUAUAACGGUCCUAAGGUAGCGAAAUUCCUUGUCGGGUAAGUUCCGACCUGCACGAAUGGCGUAAUGAUGGCCAGGCUGUCUCCACCCGAGACUCAGUGAAAUUGAACUCGCUGUGAAGAUGCAGUGUACCCGCGGCAAGACGGAAAGACCCCGUGAACCUUUACUAUAGCUUGACACUGAACAUUGAGCCUUGAUGUGUAGGAUAGGUGGGAGGCUUUGAAGCGUGGACGCCAGUCUGCGUGGAGCCAACCUUGAAAUACCACCCUUUAAUGUUUGAUGUUCUAACGUUGGCCCCUGACCGGGGUUGCGGACAGUGUCUGGUGGGUAGUUUGACUGGGGCGGUCUCCUCCCAAAGAGUAACGGAGGAGCACGAAGGUUAGCUAAUCCUGGUCGGACAUCAGGAGGUUAGUGCAAUGGCAUAAGCUAGCUUGACUGCGAGCGUGACGGCGCGAGCAGGUGCGAAAGCAGGUCAUAGUGAUCCGGUGGUUCUGAAUGGAAGGGCCAUCGCUCAACGGAUAAAAGGUACUCCGGGGAUAACAGGCUGAUACCGCCCAAGAGUUCAUAUCGACGGCGGUGUUUGGCACCUCGAUGUCGGCUCAUCACAUCCUGGGGCUGAAGUAGGUCCCAAGGGUAUGGCUGUUCGCCAUUUAAAGUGGUACGCGAGCUGGGUUUAGAACGUCGUGAGACAGUUCGGUCCCUAUCUGCCGUGGGCGCUGGAGAAUUGAGGGGGGCUGCUCCUAGUACGAGAGGACCGGAGUGGACGCAUCACUGGUGUUCGGGUUGUCAUGCCAAUGGCAUUGCCCGGUAGCUAAAUGCGGAAGAGAUAAGUGCUGAAAGCAUCUAAGCACGAAACUUGCCCCGAGAUGAGUUCUCCCUGAGACUUUAAGUCUCCUGAAGGAACGUUAAAGACGAUGACGUUGAUAGGUCGGGUGUGUAAGCGUAGCGAUACGUUGAGCUAACCGAUACUAAUGAACCGUGAGGCUUAACCUU